CCUACGGGUGGCAGCAGUGGGGAAUAUUGCACAAUGGGGGAAACCCUGAUGCAGCGACGCCGCGUGAGUGAAGAAGUAUUUCGGUAUGUAAAGCCCUAUCAGCAGGGAAGAAAAAAGACGGUACCUGACUAAGAAGCCCCGGCUAACUACGUGCCAGCAGCGGCGGUAAUACGUAGGGGGCAAGCGUUAUCCGGAUUUACUGGGUGUAAAGGGAGCGUAGGCGGUAAGGGAAGGUUGAAGUGAAAGCCCAGGGCUUAACCCUGGGACUGCUUUGGAAACUGUUGGGCUAGAGUGCUGGAGAGGUAAAGGGAAUUCCUAGUGUAGCGGUGAAAUGCGUAGAUAUUAGGAGGAACACCAGUGGCGAAGGCGGCUUACUGGACAAUAACUGACGUUGAGGCUCGAAAGCGUGGGGAGCAAACAGGAUUAGAUACCCUGGUAGUC
RNAcentral lists this ribosomal RNA (441 nucleotides) under uncultured bacterium. RNAcentral's name for it is "partial 16S ribosomal RNA". It matches the Rfam family "Bacterial small subunit ribosomal RNA", at positions 338 to 795 of the family's 1533-position model. The record is from RNAcentral.